UACGUAGGGGGCAAGCGUUAUCCGGAUUUACUGGGCGUAAAGGGAGCGUAGGCGGACUUUUAAGUGAGAUGUGAAAUACCCGGGCUCAACUUGGGUGCUGCAUUUCAAACUGGAAGUCUAGAGUGCAGGAGAGGAGAAUGGAAUUCCUAGUGUAGCGGUGAAAUGCGUAGAGAUUAGGAAGAACACCAGUGGCGAAGGCGAUUCUCUGGACUGUAACUGACGCUGAGGCUCGAAAGCGUGGGGAGCAAACAGGAUUAGAUACCCUGGUA
Molecule: ribosomal RNA, 269 nt
Filed under: uncultured prokaryote
Description: partial 16S ribosomal RNA
Rfam family: Bacterial small subunit ribosomal RNA
Source: RNAcentral